This 252-nucleotide ribosomal RNA is filed under the name uncultured bacterium. RNAcentral describes it as "partial 16S ribosomal RNA". It matches the Rfam family "Bacterial small subunit ribosomal RNA", at positions 524 to 776 of the family's 1533-position model. The record is from RNAcentral.
UACGUAGGGGGCGAGCGUUGUCCGGAAUUAUUGGGCGUAAAGGGCUCGUAGGCGGUCUGUUGCGUCAGGAGUGAAAACUCGGGGCUUAACCCCGAGCCUGCUUCUGAUACGGGCAGACUAGAGGUAUGCAGGGGAGAACGGAAUUCCUGGUGUAGCGGUGAAUGCGCAGAUAUCAGGAGGAACACCGGUGGCGAAGGCGGUUCUCUGGGCCUGUACUGACGCUGAGGAACGAAAGCGUGGGGAGCGAACAGG